Rhagoletis zephyria (snowberry fruit fly) is the source of this 93-nucleotide long non-coding RNA. RefSeq lists it as uncharacterized. NCBI's taxonomy places the organism in Eukaryota, Metazoa, Arthropoda, Insecta, Diptera, Tephritidae. The record is from RefSeq and is a predicted model, not a curated record.
GGUCAUCGCCAUACAAAUAUUGUUAGCUUCUUUAAGCAACUUCAAGUUAACUUAUAGUCCGAUACAUUUCCUGCAGGGUAUGUACAAUACAUA